This 242-nucleotide ribosomal RNA is filed under the name uncultured bacterium. RNAcentral describes it as "partial 16S ribosomal RNA". It matches the Rfam family "Bacterial small subunit ribosomal RNA", at positions 1260 to 1500 of the family's 1533-position model. The record is from RNAcentral.
AGGGUGCGCUAAUCUCUUAAAACCAAUUCUCAGUUCGGAUUGCAGGCUGCAACUCGCCUGCAUGAAGUCGGAAUCGCUAGUAAUCGCGGAUCAGCACGCCGCGGUGAAUACGUUCCCGGGCCUUGUACACACCGCCCGUCACACCACGGAAGUUGGGAGUACCCAAAGUAGGUUGCCUAACCGCAAGGAGGGCGCCUCCUAAGGUAAGACCGAUGACUGGGGUGAAGUCGUAACAAGGUACC